UCACUGCCUACCUGCCCCCCAGUCUCUGGGAGACCUGGCACAGUGGGAUGGGGGAGGGGAGCACAGGCUCCCAAGAGAUCUAGAGAGAGAGAGAGGCCCGUGGCAGGGAAGGUGAGAGCAAGUCACAGGCAAGAACUGGGGGACAGUCUGAGCUGAUACGGUCACAGGAGAGAUGAGUCCCAGAACCCCCUUGGGGAGCAAGGUCCUUACACACAAACCUCCCCACCCCAACCCAAGCCCCAUGCAAGGCUUAACCAGGGGUUCCUUGGUGUUGAGUGCCACAGGCCUCUCAGUUUGGGUGGGGGUGUUGGCUGGCUCCUGGGGCCGAGUGUAAUAGGAGGGAAGGGAUACAAUUGGGUGGGGUGGAGCUGAGACCCACGCAUGACCCCAUGUCUCUGUCUCCAGGCUGCCCUCCUGCUAGGGAUCACACAGGAGCAUCUGCUCUGGAUGGGCCUGCAGCGGUCCUGGCUGUGCUGCUGACUGGUGCACCAGGAGCGGCACUGAGGGGAGCCGGGAGAGGCCCUGGCCCUCACCCCCAUCCCACAUCCACAUCUGCCCCCUCACUGAUUGCUCGCGGUCCUGGUCCUCAGUUCCUGGGACUAAGAACCACAGCAGCCUGGUUGCCCCUGGGACAGAGGGGCUGAGCCUCACACCAUGUGCCCUUCUCAGCCACCCAGGUCCUGGCCGAAGAGUUCUGCCUGCCUCACCCCGAGGCCUGAGGCUGCACCUGGGCUACCACGUGCCCCCCGCAGAUUCCCACAGAUGGAAGGGCACUGAUGGCUUCCUCCCUUGUGCCAAGUUGCCUGGAAACCCCUGGUCCUGGUGGCCCCUCCUCCACCCCAACUGUGUCCCUCCAGGACCACUUCCAGGAGACUGCCAGCCUUUGGACUGCAUCCCUGGAGUUCUGAGAGACUGUGACAUGUGCUGCAGGGGAGGAGAGGAGCAGAGGACCAGGGGCCUCCUUGGGGCUGAUGUGCAGUGGAGGUUCUACGCCAUCACCGACUUGAAUAAGACAGCUUUCCCUUUUCUGUGUGUGAUGAACUCUCCACCAGUCAGCGCAGUCUGGUCAGAGAAAUGUUCUUGUUUUCAGUGUUGUCAAAUCUUGUGUCUAUCUAAGUUAAUAAAAAAAAUUAUUUUAGUUCAAAAAAAAAAAAAAAAGGAGGCCUCUUGUUUCUGGUGUGGUGCCCCCUUGGAGGAGAGGGUCUGUUGGUGAGCUCACCCGACUCUGGUGGCCAGAAGCUGGGGGAGGGGAGCAUCCUGAGGGCUAUAAUUGGGUGGGGUCAUGGCAGGAAACCAGUGAAUGUUAUACUUCAUAUUAAUAGAACAAAGGGGUAAUACAUAAUCAUUCCAAAAGAUUUAAAACAUGGAUUUGGUGAAAUUCAGUACCCAUUCAUGAUUUUAAAAACUUUUAAGAACAUUGAAAUUGUUAGGAACUCAUUCUUCUGGCAAAUAGUCUAUAAAAAACCUCAGUGUGCAUAAUAUUUAAUGGUGAAAGAAUGUUCCUAAUAUUGGGAACAAUGCAUGGUGUCUACUCUUGCCAUUUCUAUUCAUCAUUGUAGUGGAAGCUUGAGCAAAUGGAAUAAGCCCCCUACCCUGACAAAUCCAUCCGAAUUGGAAAGGAAGAAAUAAAGCUUUAUUUAUUCACAGAUCAUCCUGUAUGGAGAAAAUAACAAAGCACAGACACAAAAAAGCCACUAGACCCAUAAACAAAUUUAGCAAGGCCAACAGGACACAAUAUCAACAUCA
This is a long non-coding RNA of Bos taurus (domestic cattle), 1746 nucleotides long. The record is from Ensembl. Lineage: Eukaryota; Metazoa; Chordata; Mammalia; Artiodactyla; Bovidae.